This is a long non-coding RNA of Oncorhynchus masou masou (cherry salmon), 631 nucleotides long. RefSeq lists it as uncharacterized. The transcript is spliced from 2 exons. NCBI's taxonomy places the organism in Eukaryota, Metazoa, Chordata, Actinopteri, Salmoniformes, Salmonidae. The record is from RefSeq and is a predicted model, not a curated record.
CUGCCCUGGCAGGUGCACUGACGCUCAUGCAAACAUGAGACGACAUCGCACCUUUAUGCUGUGCCACUGUGAGCUGCGGGAACAUGAUGAAGAGACACACAUGUAAGGCAUUUAGGGAAGCAGGGGGAGCCACACCCCUAUGUUCCCUAUAGGAUUCCAGCCACUCACAGCAGGACUACAGUCACACUCCAGCCUCCCCUAGGAGCCAUCUAAACAACACUGAGCCACUUCCUGACAGAUUAUACACAGCACAUUAAUGAUGCCUGGAGGAAACCACCAACAACAACAGAGCACCUUUUAACAAGCCGCUCAUCUGGCUCACACCCUCAUCUAGCCUUUUUCCUUUAAAAACAACACGGCUACAAUCAAACCAGACAGACAAAAGAAGCUGUGGGAGAUACAGGGACUCAGUGUGUCCCCAGAACAGUCGCUCACUGGAUGGCAGAGCGGGAGAAUUGGCAGGGAGGGUGAUGUAGAAAUGAAAAAAGCACUUUAGAUUUCAAAGGGGAAGCGCACCCCUCCUUCUCCCCUUAGCAGAGACAUGAUCAAAGGUACUGUUGUUCUAUGGGCGCUCAAAGCCAGGCUCUUAUCGUUGAAUCUUGUUCAAAUAAAAUGGUUUUUGUUGUUGUUA